GUGCUAACAUAUGCCAAUCCUCCUCUUUUUUUGCUGAGGAAGACUGGCCCUGGGCUAACAUCCGUGCCCAUCUUCCUCCACUUUAUAUGGGACACCGCCACAGCAUGGCCCGACAAGCGGUGCGUUGGUGCACGCCCGGGAUCCGAACCGGCGAACCCCGGGCCGCCGCAGCGGAGCACGCACUUAACCGCUUUCGCCACUGGGCUGGCCCGGACACCAUCCUCUGAGUGUAGACUUCCCUGCUUGAACUGGUCAUUUGGAUGUUGCCCCAGGUGGCCUCUUCUGUCUUCGGGCUGCCUGGGUUUGUGCUCAUCCCUUGUUCCUGAGCUUGACUUCGGGGAAGCAGGGGCUGUGAUGGAGGCUGAGAUGUGUGAGGGGACCAAGACUUUGUCCAAGGACGGGUUUCCUCCUGGGCACUGAGGAGGUGCCAUCGCUCAUGGUGGGUAAGCUGACAGCAGAUGAGGCAGCCGUGGAAGCUCUCAGGGCACUGCAACGACCUCUCAGCGAGCCCUGUUGACUCCCAGGAUGUCAGUGCUGGAAGGGACCCUGCACAGUACCGGUGAGAAAUCAGAGGCACGGGACGUGAAGGCAGCCACCCAAGGCUGUGCAGCUAGCAUGGAGGUGUGCAGAGACCUCAAAGUCAUUACCCGGGUUUCUCCGUAUAUGAGAAAAUGAAAACAAAACACAACAAAACCUAGCCUUGCUGGCAGCCAGACCACAAUGUUCUCAACUGAACAUAGACAACGCCCACAGAAUAGGAACGUCGCGCUGCAAGGACUCUCCGCGUUGGUGUUUGCAACAAGACAGAGGACGCCACUCUGAAACCGAAAACGUGACUAAACAUACCCCACCUCCCCCUGACAGGAGUGAUUGCUGCUCCUGCACCAAUGCCAGCUCUAGCCCUGCCUGCUAGAACAUUUUUGAUUAAAUUAAGCAGCAACAAGUUAACAGUAAUUAAUUAUUAGAUUAUGAAGAUACUGAUCAUCGGAUGGCCCCCCUCCCCCUUUGACAGGAUCCUAUCCAGAAUUGCCCUUGCUUCCCAACUCUUCCUUAGUCUUAGCCUGCACAAGCCCAAAUCUUCUCAGAAGCCCCUCCCAACUCCUCGUGCCAGGAUGCCCCUGGGUUUCUUUGGAGUGCGUCCUCCCUUGCUGCAGCAAGUGAAA
Long non-coding RNA from Diceros bicornis minor, 1163 nucleotides. RefSeq lists it as uncharacterized. NCBI's taxonomy places the organism in Eukaryota, Metazoa, Chordata, Mammalia, Perissodactyla, Rhinocerotidae. The record is from RefSeq and is a predicted model, not a curated record. The transcript has 3 exons.